RNAcentral lists this long non-coding RNA (462 nucleotides) under Panax ginseng (ginseng). RNAcentral's name for it is "long non-coding RNA (PGIN_LNC017071)". Lineage: Eukaryota; Viridiplantae; Streptophyta; Magnoliopsida; Apiales; Araliaceae. The record is from RNAcentral.
UUCUGUUAAAUAGUAUGACAAUAAUGUAAUGAGGACUCCAUUGAGUGUGGAUAUUGUCUAGAUGACAAUAUUCUUAUUAAAACUCUUAGAUUAUGUUUUGUUGUAUUUUACACGACGGUUGUAUAAUUAAGUUUGUAUUUGUUUUCUGUACCAUGUAUUUGGCGACUAAAGAUGGGUGAUGUAUACCUCUUUUGGGGGCAUCACAUAACCAAUUCAGUUUUAUUGGGUUACCAAUUAAUUAUAAAAAAUCUAUUAUAGAUUUUUUUUUUCAUAGUGCAGUUGGUAGAUAAACCUUAAUACAAAUGUAACCAGCAAAAAUAAAAAUGGUUACCAACAGUACUGAAAUUUCUCUUGGUUACCCACAAAAACUAAAAUGGUUACCUUUGUAUAAAUGUUUGGCUACCAACUUCACUAAAAUUCUUCUCCUUUUAAUUUCUGGACUAAAUCAACCUUUGUCAUAAU